This is a long non-coding RNA of Canis lupus familiaris (dog), 3675 nucleotides long. RefSeq lists it as uncharacterized. The transcript has 3 exons. Lineage: Eukaryota; Metazoa; Chordata; Mammalia; Carnivora; Canidae. The record is from RefSeq and is a predicted model, not a curated record.
UUUUUUUUUUUUAAGAUUUAUUUAUUAGAGCAAGAGAGUGCAUGGUGGGGAGGGGCAGAGGGAGAAGGAGAGAGAAUCCCAAGCAGACAAUGUGCUAAGCGCUGAGCUUGACUAAGGGCUCCAUCUCACUGCCCUGAGAUCAGGACCUGAGCUGAAACCAAGAGUCCAUCACUCAACUGACUGUACCACCCAGGUGCCCCUACAACAUUGUUUUUAAUACCAUGAUGCAUUAUAGAGUAAUUGCUGAUAAGUUGCUAAGUAAGUAUUAAAUUUAAAAGGCCAACAUUUUAAUGAAUUGUAAGGGUUUUGGAGGUAGGGGUCAAAAGUUGGUUUGGAAGACUGUGUGUGUGUGUGUGUGUGUGUGUGUGUGUAUAAGCAUGGUGGAAGAUAAAACUGUAUAGGUAGUUUGGGGUCUUGUUAUGGAGGACCGGGCUAAAGGUAUUUGUAUUUUGACAAUCUUGGAAUGUUUUUGAACAGCACCGUGACAUGAUGAAAAUGAAAAUUUAGAAGUACUGAUUUGACAAGAAUAUGGAAAAUAACUACUUCCUUUCAACAAGAUAUGUUGACUACCUACCAUUUACUAUAAGUAUGUGCCAGGCACUGAAGUUACAAAUCUAAGUAACAUAGUCCUUGCCCUAGGAAAUAACUACUCAGUAGAAGAAGAUAUAUUAAGAAAACAUUUUUUUCCUUUUUUUUUUUUUUUUUAAUUUUGGUAAGUGCAAUGACAAUGGUGUACCUGGGGUGCUAUCAGAGCAUAGAGGAAGGAACUAACCCACCGGAAUUCAUGAGAGGGUUUUCUGGUUGGAUGUGAUAACAGCAUCUCAAAAAAUGAAGGAAUGUGGUAAAAAAUUGGUGAACAUUCCAGGCAGAGGGAACAGUGUAACAAAAGCAUAGAAACAGAGGACAAACAUGUUCGUUUCAUACAACUAUGGGCACUUCCCGUUUGCUGUAUUCUAAAGCAAUAAAAAAAGUGAAGUUAACAAGGACUUUGCAUGCCUUUUCUUGUAUUAAAGGUGAGAGAUGCUGCAGGCCUGAGCAAGGUCAGUUGUGGUAGGGUUGGUGAGAAAGGGAUGGUUUCUUCUAGAAAAUGUAGGGGUAAAAUCAUUAGAACUAAGUGAUUGGAUUUCAGGGACAAAGAUAAAGGAGAAGCCUUAAAUUGCAUGUAGAUUUCUGUCUGGGCAUUCAGGAAGAUUAGUAGCACUAUUAACUGAGAAUGGACAGGGGAGAGUAGCAAAGCUGGAGUGAAGGCAGUAUGGGACAGUUCGACAUCUAGGUCCAGCAGACAUUUAGGUAAAUAUAUCUGAAGCAUAGGAGAAUUCAGAGCUACAGACUUUUUGGGGUUAGCUGCUGUAAGUGUUGUUCCAAACACAAGUGUGCAUCAGACAUGGGUGCUUCUUUGAAGCAAAAUGAAAAUGGUUCAUAGAGGAGCAGUAAUAUUUAAGCUGCAGUAGAGAAUGUCUUACAAAGAUUGAUCAUAACUUCUCAAAGGUUAGACAGCCAAGAGUAGUCUCACAGAACUCAAGGAAGAGAGAAUUUAUGUUCAAAAUUACCAAUAUCUAAUGCUCCAGUGAAGGCUAUUUAAAUAUGUACUAAAACCUUGCCAGUAGAUAUGACAAUUUGGUGAUCUUUGUUUGGUGUCAGGAAAAAGGGAAGGAGUGAGAGCGUAACCAGAAAGGUACACAGAGUUGAGGGACGGAUUUUGAUAUUUAUAUACUGAAGGUGAUGAAAGCAGCUAACCCUUCCUGAAAAUGUUCUGGAUUCCAGGCCUUCUUCCAAGGGCUUUCCAUAUAUUAACUCAUUUACUCCACACAGCAACCCUAUGAAGUAGAUACUGUUUUCCUCAUUUUACUGAGGAGAGUUAAUCACAGAGAAAUGGUUACAUGACUAACAACUGGUAAAAGAGCAGAAUGAGAAUUUGAACCCUGGAAUUCUGACACAUAGCUCCAUUAUUUACCACUGUCUCUGUAGAAUGGUGGGGUUUGUAGAUAUGGAGAAGAGGAGUGAUCUUAAUGGAUCAAGAUCAGAAAAGACUGGAGGGGGGAUAAAGUCAGGAACAUAGGUGGGAGUUUUGGUCUUGAACAAGAGUAAGGAUAUUUUAUUCUUGAAGACCAGAAACCAGGGCUACAGGUGGAGGUGAUUCUUCCUCAAUCUCUGUUUUUCCUUGCCAUUAAUAUGAUGAAGAAACCAGGUUUUGACCUUUGAAUUUCCAAGUCUGGAUUUUGCUGAUUGAAUACCUAUGGUUAUGUUUCAACUCUUCAUGAUUGGAAUCUUCAAACAUUCUCCAUCCUUUCCUCUAGGAUUGGUGUUUCUGAGGAUACUAUUUCAGAUAUUUAUUUGGCAAGUUAAGUAUAUGGUCUACCCAUCAUAGGCUUCAGCUGAGUCCUCUGAAGAGGACUCCCACCUACCCUGAUCUACCUUCUUCACAUCUUUUCUUGCAAGAAGAUGCUAGGUCGUAAUGACAUUUGGGGACUGAGGGCACGGGGCUCUUCACAUGGAUGAAAUGCUGGUGAAUCUACCUUCUACUACUACCCUGUUAAAUUUAAACUUCUUUCCCUGUAAGAGAGUGAGCAAUCCUACCUGGCACCCAGGAAAGCCUUGUGUGGAUAUCCUUAGGAGAACAAAUUGGGUCUGUAUGUUCCCUUGCUAAGGAGUGCUGUCCUUUCUCAUCAUCAAGAUCUGCACUAAUGUCUAUAAUAGAGCCCAGAUGGCUGAUGUGUGAGAGCAGGAGCAGGCCUCCAUGGGGUUUCUCCUCACUGUGGCCAGGGUGGUGGCACACAAAGGCAUUCCAUUGGCUUCUGAGUCUAGAUCUAUAAAUAUAUUUAUUAUAAUAUAACAAGAACUUAACAAUAAACAUAUACUAUAUACAAUACCAUUACAGAGAACCCUGUUUUAUAUCAUUCACAGAAAUAGCCAGUUUUGCUCCAGUGUGAUAAAUGAGGAGAGAAACGGAAUUUCAAUGUCAUCUGUGUUGAGUCUUGCUGACCACUAACACCUCCUUUGGAGGCAGAUGCACACCAAACGCUAACAUUAGCCCUGCCCCAGGCAGUUAGAAUUUUGUGCUCCGGUCCUUGGGUUCACACUUGCACCCUGUUUGACAUAAAUACUUUAAAUGACAUACAAUGUAUGUAGUUUUGUGCUUAUUACUUUUUAAAAGAAUAAAUAAUAUUAAAAACUGCAUAACGAAGCUCGGUAUCUUGUCCAAGUGGGAGUCACACUUGUAGUGCUAAAAGUUGAUGCCCGACAUUAGAAUCGGAAUUUUGUGUCAUUAAAUACCGAAAGAUGGAAAGCAUGUCCUGUCCUUUUGUCCUUAGAAAUGGUUUUUAUCAUGAAAUGACGGCAAGUUGACUUCCCAGAUAUAAAAAUGGUAAAUGCGUAUUUGGUACCAACUUCAACUAAACAGCGCAGUGGCGGCGGCUCUCUUCUUGCCCUGGAAUGGAAACUGAUCACCGCGUGAGGUUUGAGGGUCUGAGGACUGGCAGGAAGGCCUUUCUGUCAUGAGCCACGGUGUGACCUUCCUCCUGGCUUCCCUUUCUCUGGUUAAUAUGCUACAGGAAGAGUGAUUCUGCUCAUGCCCCCUCAGGCCUUGGCUGUCAUGGCUCGCCUACGAAGGCUGUCCCCAUCCUGAGAGCUCUUGUGGCAGGUGCCUUAAUAUAUAGCUAUAAAUAUCAAAAAUAG